GACCUGGCGGCGUGCUUACCAUGCAAGUCGAACGAUGAAGCCCAGCUUGCUGGGUGGAUUAGUGGCCGAACGGGUGAGUAACACGUGAGUAACCUGCCCUUAACUCUGGGAUAAGCCUGGGAAACUGGGUCUAAUACCGGAUAGGAGCGCCUACCGCAUGGUGGGUGUUGGAAAGAUUUAUCGGUUUUGGAUGGACUCGCGGCCUAUCAGCUUGUUGGUGAGGUAAUGGCUCACCAAGGCGACGACGGGUAGCCGGCCUGAGAGGGUGACCGGCCACACUGGGACUGAGACACGGCCCAGACUCCUACGGGAGGCAGCAGUGGGGAAUAUUGCACAAUGGGCGAAAGCCUGAUGCAGCGACGCCGCGUGAGGGAUGACGGCCUUCGGGUUGUAAACCUCUUUCAGUAGGGAAGAAGCGAAAGUGACGGUACCUGCAGAAGAAGCACCGGCUAACUACGUGCCAGCAGCCGCGGUAAUACGUAGGGUGCGAGCGUUAUCCGGAAUUAUUGGGCGUAAAGAGCUCGUAGGCGGUUUGUCGCGUCUGUCGUGAAAGUCCGGGGCUUAACCCCGGAUCUGCGGUGGGUACGGGCAGACUAGAGUGCAGUAGGGGAGACUGGAAUUCCUGGUGUAGCGGUGGAAUGCGCAGAUAUCAGGAGGAACACCGAUGGCGAAGGCAGGUCUCUGGGCUGUAACUGACGCUGAGGAGCGAAAGCAUGGGGAGCGAACAGGAUUAGAUACCCUGGUAGUCCAUGCCGUAAACGUUGGGCACUAGGUGUGGGGACCAUUCCACGGUUUCCGCGCCGCAGCUAACGCAUUAAGUGCCCCGCCUGGGGAGUACGGCCGCAAGGCUAAAACUCAAAGGAAUUGACGGGGGCCCGCACAAGCGGCGGAGCAUGCGGAUUAAUUCGAUGCAACGCGAAGAACCUUACCAAGGCUUGACAUGUUCUCGAUCGCCGUAGAGAUACGGUUUCCCCUUUGGGGCGGGUUCACAGGUGGUGCAUGGUUGUCGUCAGCUCGUGUCGUGAGAUGUUGGGUUAAGUCCCGCAACGAGCGCAACCCUCGUUCCAUGUUGCCAGCACGUAAUGGUGGGGACUCAUGGGAGACUGCCGGGGUCAACUCGGAGGAAGGUGAGGACGACGUCAAAUCAUCAUGCCCCUUAUGUCUUGGGCUUCACGCAUGCUACAAUGGCCGGUACAAUGGGUUGCGAUACUGUGAGGUGGAGCUAAUCCCAAAAAGCCGGUCUCAGUUCGGAUUGGGGUCUGCAACUCGACCCCAUGAAGUCGGAGUCGCUAGUAAUCGCAGAUCAGCAACGCUGCGGUGAAUACGUUCCCGGGCCUUGUACACACCGCCCGUCAAGUCACGAAAGUUGGUAACACCCGAAGCCGGUGGCCUAACCCUUGUGGGGGGAGCCGUCGAAGGUGACCAGCGAGUC
RNAcentral lists this ribosomal RNA (1432 nucleotides) under bacterium BII-S4. RNAcentral describes it as "bacterial SSU rRNA". It matches the Rfam family "Bacterial small subunit ribosomal RNA". The record is from RNAcentral.